UGCGCAGCGCAUGCUUGACCACGACAUUGCCGAAGGACAGGCCCUUCAGCCGCGCCGUGCGGAUGUAUUGCUGGGUCAUCACCUCGACCAUCGAGGCACGCGUCAUGCGGGCGAUGUAGCCGAUGCCGUAGAUGGCCAGCGUCAUCACCGGCAAGGUGAAGUUGUAGAAGGUGAUGC
This 177-nucleotide non-coding RNA is filed under the name Aminobacter aganoensis. RNAcentral's name for it is "cis52 sRNA". It matches the Rfam family "Ruegeria cis52 sRNA". From Rfam's summary of the family: Cis-encoded. Targets oligo/dipeptide ABC transporter. Functions in transport. The record is from RNAcentral. Lineage: Bacteria; Pseudomonadati; Pseudomonadota; Alphaproteobacteria; Hyphomicrobiales; Phyllobacteriaceae.